This 100-nucleotide ribosomal RNA is filed under the name Sacalia bealei (Beal's-eyed turtle). RNAcentral describes it as "partial 16S ribosomal RNA". The record is from RNAcentral. Lineage: Eukaryota; Metazoa; Chordata; Testudines; Geoemydidae.
CAACAACCUAGCCCAACCAAAAACAAGAACUUAAUAAACAAAAUAAUCCCACUAAAACCAACCAAAACAUUUUCACCAUCUUAGUAUAGGCGAUAGAAAA